UCUGGCGGCCUUAGCGCAGUGGUCCCACCUGACCCCAUGCCGAACUCAGAAGUGAAACGCCGUAGCGCCGAUGGUAGUGUGGGG
This 84-nucleotide ribosomal RNA is filed under the name Shigella dysenteriae. Lineage: Bacteria; Pseudomonadati; Pseudomonadota; Gammaproteobacteria; Enterobacterales; Enterobacteriaceae. The record is from RNAcentral.